Molecule: transfer RNA, 83 nt
Filed under: Actinomycetota bacterium
Lineage: Bacteria; Bacillati; Actinomycetota
Description: tRNA-Leu
Rfam family: tRNA
About the family: Transfer RNA (tRNA) molecules are approximately 80 nucleotides in length.
Source: RNAcentral
GCCGGGAUGGAGGAACGGGAGACUCGGCGCCCUCAAAAGGCGCUGCUCGAAAGGGCGUGUGGGUUCGAAUCCCACUCCCGGCA